This 223-nucleotide long non-coding RNA is filed under the name Bos taurus (domestic cattle). RNAcentral's name for it is "long non-coding RNA NONBTAT027103". The record is from RNAcentral. Lineage: Eukaryota; Metazoa; Chordata; Mammalia; Artiodactyla; Bovidae.
CAUGGUCAAAGUUAAGCGUGGGAAAAUAUCCCACAUUCUCUCCACAUACAUGUUGGAACACAAGCAUUUCGAAAGACUAUUUCAUGCACCAGGAGCGUUCUUUCUCCGUAUUUGUAGGAGGUUGUAUGUUUCCAUUUGACGCCCUCUGGCUAACCAUCUCCGCUUCUGUAGCAGGAAGGUGUACAGGAGACCAUACAACAUAACCCACUGACGCGUGCAAAAG